GCAGCCGCCGCCGUAAUACAGAGGGUGCGAGCGUUAAUCGGAUUUACUGGGCGUAAAGCGUGCGUAGGCGGCUAAUUGAGUCGGAUGUGAAAUCCCCGAGCUUAACUUGGGAAUUGCAUUCGAUACUGGUUAGCUAGAGUGUGGGAGAGGAUGGUAGAAUUCCAGGUGUAGCGGUGAAAUGCGUAGAGAUCUGGAGGAAUACCGAUGGCGAAGGCAGCCAUCUGGCCUAACACUGACGCUGAGGUACGAAAGCAUGGGGAGCAAACAGGAUUAGAUACCCCUGUAGUCCCUGUCUCUUAUAC
Molecule: ribosomal RNA, 302 nt
Filed under: uncultured bacterium
Lineage: Bacteria
Description: partial 16S ribosomal RNA
Rfam family: Bacterial small subunit ribosomal RNA
Source: RNAcentral